Molecule: ribosomal RNA, 909 nt
Filed under: uncultured bacterium
Lineage: Bacteria
Description: bacterial SSU rRNA
Rfam family: Bacterial small subunit ribosomal RNA
Source: RNAcentral
CAUUCGGUCUGGUGGCGAGUGGCGAACGGGUGAGUAAUAUAUCGGAACGUAUCCAAUAAUGGGGGAUAACUAAUCGAAAGGUUGGCUAAUACCGCAUACGCCCUACGGGGGAAAGCUAGGGACCUUCGGGCCUGGCGUUAAUGGAGCGGCUGAUAUCUGAUUAGCUAGUAGGUGAGGUAAAAGCUCACCUAGGCGACGAUCAGUAGCUGGUCUGAGAGGACGACCAGCCACACUGGAACUGAGACACGGUCCAGACUCCUACGGGAGGCAGCAGUGGGGAAUUUUGGACAAUGGGCGCAAGCCUGAUCCAGCCAUUCCGCGUGAGUGAAGAAGGCCUUCGGGUUGUAAAGCUCUUUCGCAAGGGAAGAAAACUUAGUCUCUAACAUAGACUGAGGUUGACGGUACCUUGAUAAGAAGCACCGGCUAACUACGUGCCAGCAGCCGCGGUAAUACGUAGGGUGCGAGCGUUAAUCGGAAUUACUGGGCGUAAAGCGUGCGCAGGCGGUUUUGUAAGUCAGAUGUGAAAUCCCCGAGCUCAACUUGGGAACUGCGUUUGAAACUACAAGACUAGAAUAUGUCAGAGGGGGGUAGAAUUCCACGUGUAGCAGUGAAAUGCGUAGAGAUGUGGAGGAAUACCAAUGGCGAAGGCAGCCCCCUGGGAUAAUAUUGACGCUCAUGCACGAAAGCGUGGGGAGCAAACAGGAUUAGAUACCCUGGUAGUCCACGCCCUAAACGAUGUCUACUAGUUGUUGGUGGAGUAAAAUCCAUGAGUAACGCAGCUAACGCGUGAAGUAGACCGCCUGGGGAGUACGUCGCAAGAUUGAAACUCAAAUGAAUUGAUGGGGGCCCGCACAAGCGGUGGAUUAUGUGGAUUAAUUCGAUGCAACGCGAAAAACCUUACCUGGCCUU